CUACGGGGUGCAGCAGUGGGGAAUAUUGCACAAUGGAGGAAACUCUGAUGCAGCAACGCCGCGUGGAGGAUGACACAUUUCGGUGCGUAAACUCCUUUUAUAUGAGAAGAUAAUGACGGUAUCAUAUGAAUAAGCACCGGCUAACUCCGUGCCAGCAGCCGCGGUAAUACGGGGGGUGCAAGCGUUACUCGGAAUCACUGGGCGUAAAGCGAGCGCAGGCAGAUAUAUAAGUUGGAAGUGAAAUCCUAUGGCUUAACCAUAGAACUGCUUCCAAAACUGUCUAUCUAGAAUAUGGGAGAGGUAGAUGGAAUUUCUGGUGUAGGGGUAAAAUCCGUAGAGAUCAGAAGGAAUACCGAUUGCGAAGGCGAUCUACUGGAACAUUAUUGACGCUGAGGCUCGAAAGCGUGGGGAGCAAACAGGAUUAGAUACCCUCGUAGUC
RNAcentral lists this ribosomal RNA (439 nucleotides) under uncultured bacterium. Its description in RNAcentral is "partial 16S ribosomal RNA". It matches the Rfam family "Bacterial small subunit ribosomal RNA", at positions 339 to 795 of the family's 1533-position model. The record is from RNAcentral.